This is a non-coding RNA of Triticum urartu, 134 nucleotides long. The record is from Rfam. Lineage: Eukaryota; Viridiplantae; Streptophyta; Magnoliopsida; Poales; Poaceae.
AUCCUAUUACCUCCGUCCGAAAAUACUUGUCAUCAAAAUGGACAAAAAAGAUAUAUAUAGAAUUAAAAUACAUCUAGAUACAUCCUCUUUUAUUCAUUUUGAUAACAAGUAUUUCCAGACGGAAUGAGUAUGAC